UGAGUUUUUACCCUCUGCUUGUUCUAGUUCUGCUGCUUUGAUUUGAGACUGGAAGAAGGUGCCCUAAAGCUUGCUUGUGUUUUUUGUUGUUGUUGCUUGUUUGCUUUAUCAACUGCAUUGGUCAGACUUGAAAAAAGUAUUAUUCUUCUGCAAAAACUUUGCCUAAAUAACAUACUGUUUGUAACUAGCUCAAUCCCAGAGAGAGAGAAGUUUCUUUAAACUUUGGAACAUAAAAGUUGUUCAAUAUCCAAAUAAAAUGAUUUUGUGACCCCUCUCUCUCUGUUCCAGAUGAAACUGCAAAAUGAGGAAAGAGGGAAAUGCCCUCCAGUGCCUUUGCCUACUGGAGUUAUUCGUGGCUCCCCCCAGCAGGACAGCCAGGCAGGAUCCCCAAACAUGACUAUGUUCCCUUAAAAAAAAAAAAAAAAAGUGUUUACUUAGGGGAAACUACCAAAUAGAGCCUGCCCUAGGUUAAAGAAGUUUUGUCACUCAGCAGAACAGCUCUCUGGUUUCUUAUGGCAGUGUGGGGUGGAGGGGCUGUGGCUACAAAAAGCUAAGUAUUUUGCACCAAAACUCUGAGCACUGAUUUUCGACUGUAACCUUCUGUCUCUCCUUUCUCUAGGACCUGUCUCCGAAGCCUUGCCUUUAUUAUGGAGAAGGUUUAUGUGAUUUGUGAUCUGCAGCCAACAUGAUGAACUCAAGAAAAAAGGGAGGUGUUUAGCUUGACACUGCCUCAGUAGCUGCACCAAGUUGAAUUUGGGGAAGUAAAAAAUGAUGCAAACAUCUGAGUGAGAAAACUUCAGUUUUGGACAUAAAAUGAUAACUUUGCUAAUCUCAAAACCUCCUGUUGUGUCAUGUCAUAUCUUGUGGGUUGGCAAGCUUUGCAGUGAUGGUGGGUUUUUGGAAAGCAGAGGAGGAAAUUUAUAUGAAGAUACUUACAAUGAAGGUUGCUAAAAGCAUGAAUGUUUAUGAAUAUAUAAACGUUAUAGUUAGUGGCCACAAUAACACCUCAAUCCCUUAAUGAAUGGUUAGAAGGUGACAGAAAUUAAUAACAUCAAUAAAUGACACAGGACAAAGUGUAAAUAUUUCAGUAUAAAGACUUCUGACCUCAUCUUCUUCGUCUGAGCAGGUUUCACUGUCUCGCUCCUCCAGUGAACUUCUGAAAAAGCAUUUUGUGUAUCAGGCCCUUAGAGAAAUGACAGCUCAAAGGAGACCUUGUUAGUAUAGUAUGAACAUGGCAACUAGCCAACACUGACACCUGCAAACAACCUCUAGUUUCAGCUGCAGGUAGCUGGCAGCUUCCCUUUCUGUUGUGUGUUGGCUGUUUGCUCCUGAAUAGUCCUUUGAACGUUUGCAGAUUUGUCCCCCCUUGUCUGUGGGCUGCUUGGGGGUCAGUAGGAGCUAGAGGUCACACCAAGAUGCGCUGUAAGAGCUGUGCCUGUCCUCAGGCAAGAUGGUUUUUGAGCUGUUCCAGGCUCUGCUGGCCAGCAGGGUGAGGACUCAACAGAUAAGCAAGAGCUGAGGGUGUUGAUCCAAGUGCCUUUAAACAUGGUGGGAAGCUGGGCUCUUGGGUAAUGAGAAGGCUGAGGCAAAAGACUUGUUAAAAUGACUCAGCAGCACAGUAAGUGUAGAGAAAGCUUUGUGCUCCGUGUGGAGUGUGGUACUGCUCCUGAACAACAUGCUGUGGCCACCACAGGAGUCUGCAGCUUUUACUUGCCCUUGGAGAAGGCUGUUAAGUGCUUCUUCUGCACAGCCAUCUGCCAUUUACCAGCAAUGCAGUCUCCUUCUUCCCUACUCAUCCCCAGGGAUGAGCCUGAGCUGCAAAAGCAAGGCAAGGGAAGCCUCUCUGGCACUGUCAGCAGUCUGCUCAUUGCCUUCAUUUGCACCUAUUGCCAUGGGGCCAUGGGAGGGGUGAAAAACCUCAGUUUGCAUCAUUUUAGUGCCAGCCCCACUUGCGUAUGCAUCAUUUCUGCCAUGCAUCGUUUCUGCCAGGUGGCAGCCCAGUAAUUGCAGUAGCUUCACAAGGGGUGGCACAAAGCAGCACUGCUUGGGAGGGCCUGGCACCUGCAGUGCUCUGGGGGGAGGCUGAGGAGCUGGCCCUGCAGGUGGAGGCUUGGCUUAAAAUCUACUGAUAACCAGGUGUUUUUUUGGCCUCAGGAGGCUAUACAAUCACUAGAAAUCCAUGCUUUACAUUUCCAGGCAACUGUUUAAUUUGCCUUC
This is a long non-coding RNA of Oxyura jamaicensis (ruddy duck), 2217 nucleotides long. RefSeq lists it as uncharacterized. The transcript is spliced from 2 exons. The record is from RefSeq and is a predicted model, not a curated record. NCBI's taxonomy places the organism in Eukaryota, Metazoa, Chordata, Aves, Anseriformes, Anatidae.